UACGUAGGGCGCAAGCGUUGUCCGGAAUUAUUGGGCGUAAAGAGUUCGUAGGCGGUUUGUCGCGUCUGCUGUGAAAACCUAAGGCUCAACCUUGGGCUUGCAGUGGGUACGGGCAGACUAGAGUGCGGUAGGGGUGACUGGAAUUCCUGGUGUAGCGGUGGAAUGCGCAGAUAUCAGGAGGAACACCGAUGGCGAAGGCAGGUCACUGGGCCGCAACUGACGCUGAGGAGCGAAAGCAUGGGGAGCGAACAGG
Molecule: ribosomal RNA, 253 nt
Filed under: uncultured bacterium
Lineage: Bacteria
Description: partial 16S ribosomal RNA
Rfam family: Bacterial small subunit ribosomal RNA
Source: RNAcentral